RNAcentral lists this ribosomal RNA (301 nucleotides) under uncultured bacterium. RNAcentral describes it as "partial 16S ribosomal RNA". It matches the Rfam family "Bacterial small subunit ribosomal RNA", at positions 509 to 809 of the family's 1533-position model. The record is from RNAcentral.
CAGCAGCCGCGGUAAUACGUAGGGUGCGAGCGUUAAUCGGAAUUACUGGGCGUAAAGCGUGCGCAGGCGGUUAUAUAAGUCAGAUGUGAAAUCCCCGGGCUCAACCUGGGAACUGCAUUUGAGACUGUAUGGCUAGAGUGUGUCAGAGGGGGGUAGAAUUCCACGUGUAGCAGUGAAAUGCGUAGAUAUGUGGAGGAAUACCGAUGGCGAAGGCGGCCAUCUGGGACAACACUGACGCUGAGGCACGAAAGCGUGGGGAGCAAACAGGAUUAGAUACCCCUGUAGUCCCUGUCUCUUAUAA